UACGGGGGGGGCGAGCGUUGUUCGGAAUCACUGGGCGUAAAGAGCUCGUAGGCGGUGUGUCGCGUCGGCCGUGAAAACCUGCAGCUUAACUGUGGGCUUGCGGUCGAUACGGGCAUCACUGGAGUUCGGCAGGGGAGACUGGAAUUCCUGGUGUAGCGGUGAAAUGCGCAGAUAUCAGGAGGAACACCGGUGGCGAAGGCGGGUCUCUGGGCAGAUACUGACGCUGAGGAGCGAAAGCGUGGGGAGCGAACAGG
RNAcentral lists this ribosomal RNA (254 nucleotides) under uncultured bacterium. RNAcentral's name for it is "partial 16S ribosomal RNA". It matches the Rfam family "Bacterial small subunit ribosomal RNA", at positions 524 to 776 of the family's 1533-position model. The record is from RNAcentral.